This is a non-coding RNA of Pelobates cultripes (western spadefoot toad), 157 nucleotides long. The record is from the annotation of a GenBank genome assembly. Lineage: Eukaryota; Metazoa; Chordata; Amphibia; Anura; Pelobatidae.
GCAGACACAUUCCAGCCAAUCAGCAGCAGACCCUCCCUCCCAGACCCUCCCAUCUCCUGGACAGCAUCCAUUGUGAAGCUGCAUUCUUAGUGAGCUGUCCAGGAGGUGGGAGGGUCUGGGAGGGAGGGUCUGCUGCUGAUUGGCUGGAAUGUGUCUG